Molecule: transfer RNA, 72 nt
Filed under: Loxodonta africana (African savanna elephant)
Lineage: Eukaryota; Metazoa; Chordata; Mammalia; Proboscidea; Elephantidae
Rfam family: tRNA
About the family: Transfer RNA (tRNA) molecules are approximately 80 nucleotides in length. Their secondary structure includes four short double-helical elements and three loops (D, anti-codon, and T loops).
Source: Rfam by way of RNAcentral
GCCCUGGUGGCACAGUGGUUAAGAGUUUGGCUGCUAACCAAAAAGUCGGCAGUUCAAGUCUGUUCCUUGGAA